GAAAUUCGCCUUCAUGAAGCCGGAAUUGCUAGUAAUGGCAGGUCAGCAUACUGCCGUGAAUACGUUCCCGGGCCUUGUACACACCGCCCGUCACACCAUGAGAGUUGGGAAUACCCGAAGCCUGUGAGCUAACUUUUAGAGGCAGCAGUCGAAGGUAGAAUCAAUGAUUGGGGUGAAGUCGUAACAAGGUAUC
Molecule: ribosomal RNA, 193 nt
Filed under: uncultured bacterium
Lineage: Bacteria
Description: partial 16S ribosomal RNA
Rfam family: Bacterial small subunit ribosomal RNA
Source: RNAcentral